RNAcentral lists this ribosomal RNA (253 nucleotides) under uncultured bacterium. RNAcentral's name for it is "partial 16S ribosomal RNA". It matches the Rfam family "Bacterial small subunit ribosomal RNA", at positions 524 to 776 of the family's 1533-position model. The record is from RNAcentral.
UACGUAGGUGGCAAGCGUUGUCCGGAAUUAUUGGGCGUAAAGCGCGCGCAGGCGGUCCUUUAAGUCUGAUGUGAAAGCCCACGGCUCAACCGUGGAGGGUCAUUGGAAACUGGGGGACUUGAGUGCAGAAGAGGGGAGUGGAAUUCCACGUGUAGCGGUGAAAUGCGUAGAGAUGUGGAGGAACACCAGUGGCGAAGGCGACUCUCUGGUCUGUAACUGACGCCGAGGCGCGAAAGCGUGGGGAGCAAACAGG